CCACAUGCUCCUUAGAUCCAUCUUUGUGAGUAUCUUUGUGCUGAGUUCUGCUGGAUAACUUCAGUUUCUAGCAGUUCCAGUCAAAGUUGCUCGGCAACUUUUUUGGUUGUACGGUCAAAGAUGCUUGAGUCAUUGGCAUGUGAGAGUAAUAUAACUGCAUGUUAGCUUUCUGUUCUGAUAAAAGUGACUGUAAAUAUGAGAGUCAUUUACCGCUAUCAGGACAUGGCUGGUAUGCAGACAUUG
This 243-nucleotide small nucleolar RNA is filed under the name Gallus gallus (chicken). RNAcentral's name for it is "GGN66 snoRNA". It matches the Rfam family "Small nucleolar RNA SNORA53". From Rfam's summary of the family: The snoRNA ACA53 belongs to the H/ACA family of pseudouridylation guide snoRNAs. The record is from RNAcentral. Lineage: Eukaryota; Metazoa; Chordata; Aves; Galliformes; Phasianidae.